Long non-coding RNA from Neocloeon triangulifer, 1377 nucleotides. RefSeq lists it as uncharacterized. The transcript has 4 exons. The record is from RefSeq and is a predicted model, not a curated record. NCBI's taxonomy places the organism in Eukaryota, Metazoa, Arthropoda, Insecta, Ephemeroptera, Baetidae.
UAUUAGUAUCGGGUUAACCGCGGCUUUAUCAAACACAAAGCUUAUGGCUGAAGGUAUGUCUGGUAUUAUAUGCGGAAUUUUAUUUGCCACUUUGUGUUUCUUGCAAGUAAAUCAGAUCGAUGCAAAAAAUUGUCAUAAGCGCGAUUUAAAUGGAAAAUUAAAUUGCAAGUUUAAUCCAAAAAGUAUCAAAUCAAUGGAGUACUCUCAAAAGACAUUUGCUGAUUGUACCUGCAAAAUAACGUCAACAUGCACUAUUCCAUUGAAUCUAACAUUUGUGUGCGGAGAGAAUGGAAAAUGGCAAUUUACUGAAGGAGACCCCACAUGGUCUGUUUGGGCAGUUGAUUGCACCAAAUAUGGUUGUAUAAGUUGCUUGAUUUCAAAAAGGCACUACACAGACUGCUAUGUAUGCAGAAAGAAUGAAUACUCAUGCAAACACACUAAUGACACUAAAAUAUAUAGUCUGAAGUGUAAUAAAUAUGGAAACCUCAUCUCAAUAGAAUCAGAAUGUGGUAAAUCAGCGACUGAUUCCUCACAUUCACUAAACAUUCCCCUCACAAUUGGAUGUGCCGCAGUGGCAGUUGUUAUACUAUGUGCAGUAGUUUUAGCUUGCAAGUAUUAUUUCACAAGAGCAAAGCGUUUUGCAGUUACAGUUGACGGAGCCAGAAUUGCUAAAAAUCAAUUAUGAAAUAAUUACUAUAUCAAUAUCAAUAUAUAUGCCCUGUAAAAAACUAUUAUUGUAUUUAAUAGAUUAAUUUUAAGAUUUUAGUUGCAAACUGUGUUUAUUGAUCUAUCACAAAGGCAAUUCCUGCCUACAAUGAGAUACAUUCAAAAUUAUAAAAAUUUAAUAUUAAUUUUCAAAUUAAAAGAGAAUUCGUGUUAGAGUUUAUUUAUACUUCAUAAUUAUUAUUUACAUUACAUUUUAUAUAUUAUAUUUUUUGAGGAACAAGAACUUGUGCCAGAUAUAUUCAUGAUUAAUGUUAAUCUGUACCUAAAAAAUAUUUAUUUCAGAGCAGAUCCUCUUAGUACAUUUUAGUAGCAGUUGCAAUCUUAAGAUAUUUUGUAUUGAAUGUUUUACAGAAUUAAGAGAAGGUAACUUUUCCAAUUUAAAUAAACUAAUUAAUAAGCUGCAGUGAAAUAUUAUUUUUUUAAAUAUCCUACGCAAAAGAGCAAAUCAUUGGACAUUUUAUUAAAUUCGAGUUGAAUUAUUAAAAAUUCAAUUUGAAAUUUAUUGUAUAAUGUAAAUGCUUCACUGGUGAGAGUUUUUAAACCAACAAUAGCUAAAAAUUUCACAUUCCAUUGUUCAUUCAUGAUCAUUUGUGUUGUCGUUUAAUUGAGUCACAUGAUUUUGGCUUUUCCUUUAAAAACGUCUAAUUGUAA